GAUGAACGCUGGCGGCGUGCCUAAUACAUGCAAGUCGAGCGAACGGACGAGAAGCUUGCUUCUCUGAUGUUAGCGGCGGACGGGUGAGUAACACGUGGAUAACCUACCUAUAAGACUGGGAUAACUUCGGGAAACCGGAGCUAAUACCGGAUAAUAUUUUGAACCGCAUGGUUCAAAAGUGAAAGACGGUCUUGCUGUCACUUAUAGAUGGAUCCGCGCUGCAUUAGCUAGUUGGUAAGGUAACGGCUUACCAAGGCAACGAUGCAUAGCCGACCUGAGAGAGUGAUCGGCCACACUGGAACUGAGACACGGUCCAGACUCCUACGGGAGGCAGCAGUAGGGAAUCUUCCGCAAUGGGCGAAAGCCUAACGGAGCAACGCCGCGUGAGUGAUGAAGGUCUUCGGAUCGUAAAACUCUGUUAUUAGGGAAGAACAUAUGUGUAAGUAACUGUGCACAUCUUGACGGUACCUAAUCAGAAAGCCACGGCUAACUACGUG
RNAcentral lists this ribosomal RNA (497 nucleotides) under uncultured bacterium. RNAcentral's name for it is "partial 16S ribosomal RNA". It matches the Rfam family "Bacterial small subunit ribosomal RNA", at positions 28 to 507 of the family's 1533-position model. The record is from RNAcentral.